Molecule: small nuclear RNA, 256 nt
Filed under: Heterocephalus glaber (naked mole-rat)
Lineage: Eukaryota; Metazoa; Chordata; Mammalia; Rodentia; Bathyergidae
Description: 7SK RNA
Rfam family: 7SK RNA
About the family: 7SK was discovered as an abundant small nuclear RNA in the mid-70s but a possible function has only recently been suggested.
Source: Rfam by way of RNAcentral
GGGAGACAUCUAGACACAAACCAUAAUGCCACACCAUGUGUGUCCAUCUCCAAAUUGCAUGUUAUUGAAGAGGAUGACCAUCCCCCAAUAGAGGAGAACUGAGGACCAUUACCUCAGUCGAGGGCAUACGAGUAGCUGUGCUCCCCUGCUAGAAGCUCCAAACAAGCUCUCAAGAAAUACCAAUAUCCAAACAUCAUGAAAACCAGGGACUUGCAUCUUUACAAAAAGAAACAACAAAAACUUAUCACUUGUCUUU